AUAUGUUUAAAGAUCUUUGUUUUCUUUUUCUUUAAUGUGGUGCAAAUCCAGACUACCUGCCACACUGCCAGAAAUUGCAAGUAUCUGUGAAACAAAGGGAUGUAUACUGUGGUUAUUAUUCUAAAAAGAGAAUGCAACACCUGAUGAUUCUACACAGCUUUAAAUCGAUGAGUCAAUCAAGUAUUUCCACCAGUGCAUUGAAGAAUUGAAUGUAAGCCAUAAAGCAUAUUUUUUACCUCUCUAGUACACAUGAAAGUGAGUGAGAGGAUUCUAGUUUUAGCUAACAUUUGCUGAUCACCUGAAUUACACUUUUAUUUUGACCCUUUAAAAACCUGUGGGUUUAUUUUAAUUGGUGUUGAGCAUUCAGUAGAAGGUUAUUAGU
This 382-nucleotide long non-coding RNA is filed under the name Chinchilla lanigera (long-tailed chinchilla). Its description in RNAcentral is "lncRNA (ENSCLAG00000025437.1)". The record is from RNAcentral. Lineage: Eukaryota; Metazoa; Chordata; Mammalia; Rodentia; Chinchillidae.